CGGGAUGAGUGGAGCUUGCUCCAUGAUUCAGCGGCGGACGGGUGAGUAAUGCCUAGGAAUCUGCCUGGUAGUGGGGGACAACGUUUCGAAAGGAACGCUAAUACCGCAUACGUCCUACGGGAGAAAGUGGGGGAUCUUCGGACCUCACGCUAUCAGAUGAGCCUAGGUCGGAUUAGCUAGUUGGUGAGGUAAAGGCUCACCAAGGCGACGAUCCGUAACUGGUCUGAGAGGAUGAUCAGUCACACUGGAACUGAGACACGGUCCAGACUCCUACGGGAGGCAGCAGUGGGGAAUAUUGGACAAUGGGCGAAAGCCUGAUCCAGCCAUGCCGCGUGUGUGAAGAAGGUCUUCGGAUUGUAAAGCACUUUAAGUUGGGAGGAAGGGCAGUAAGUUAAUACCUUGCUGUUUUGACGUUACCGACAGAAUAAGCACCGGCUAACUUCGUGCCAGCAGCCGCGGUAAUACGAAGGGUGCAAGCGUUAAUCGGAAUUACUGGGCGUAAAGCGCGCGUAGGUGGUUCGUUAAGUUGGAUGUGAAAGCCCCGGGCUCAACCUGGGAACUGCAUCCAAAACUGGCGAGCUAGAGUAUGGCAGAGGGUGGUGGAAUUUCCUGUGUAGCGGUGAAAUGCGUAGAUAUAGGAAGGAACACCAGUGGCGAAAGCGACCACCUGGGCUAAUACUGACACUGAGUGCGAAAGCGUGGGGAGCAAACAGGAUUAGAUACCCUGGUAGUCCACGCCGUAAACGAUGUCGACUAGCCGUUGGGAUCGUUGAGAUCUUAGUGCGCAGCUACGCAUAAGUCGACGCCUGGGGAGUACGGCCGCAGUUAAAGCUCAAAUGAAUUGACGGGGCCCGCCACAAGCGGUGGAGC
This 870-nucleotide ribosomal RNA is filed under the name Stutzerimonas stutzeri. RNAcentral's name for it is "bacterial SSU rRNA". It matches the Rfam family "Bacterial small subunit ribosomal RNA", at positions 67 to 938 of the family's 1533-position model. The record is from RNAcentral. Lineage: Bacteria; Pseudomonadati; Pseudomonadota; Gammaproteobacteria; Pseudomonadales; Pseudomonadaceae.